CCUACGGGUGGCAGCAGUGGGGAAUAUUGCACAAUGGGGGAAACCCUGAUGCAGCGACGCCGCGUGAAGGAAGAAGUAUUUCGGUAUGUAAACUUCUAUCAGCAGGGAAGAAAAUGACGGUACCUGACUAAGAAGCCCCGGCUAACUACGUGCCAGCAGCCGCGGGAAUACGUAGGGGGCAAGCGUUACCCGGAUUUACUGGGUGGAAAGGGAGCGUAGGCGGUUCAGCAAGUCAGAAGUGAAAGCCCGGGGCGCAACUCCGGGACUGCUUUUGAAACUGUUGAACUAGAUUGCAGGAGAGGUGAGUGGAAUUCCUGGUGUAGCGGUGAAAUGCGUAGAUAUUAGGAGGAACACCAGUGGCGAAAGCGGCUUACUGGACUGUAAAUGACGCUGAGGCUCGAAAGCGUGGGGAGCAAACAGGAUUAGAUACCCUUGUAGUC
This 440-nucleotide ribosomal RNA is filed under the name uncultured bacterium. RNAcentral describes it as "partial 16S ribosomal RNA". It matches the Rfam family "Bacterial small subunit ribosomal RNA", at positions 338 to 795 of the family's 1533-position model. The record is from RNAcentral.